RNAcentral lists this ribosomal RNA (497 nucleotides) under uncultured bacterium. Its description in RNAcentral is "partial 16S ribosomal RNA". It matches the Rfam family "Bacterial small subunit ribosomal RNA", at positions 28 to 507 of the family's 1533-position model. The record is from RNAcentral.
GAUGAACGCUGGCGGCGUGCCUAAUACAUGCAAGUCGAGCGAACAGACGAGGAGCUUGCUCCUCUGACGUUAGCGGCGGACGGGUGAGUAACACGUGGAUAACCUACCUAUAAGACUGGGAUAACUUCGGGAAACCGGAGCUAAUACCGGAUAAUAUAUUGAACCGCAUGGUUCAAUAGUGAAAGACGGUUUUGCUGUCACUUAUAGAUGGAUCCGCGCCGCAUUAGCUAGUUGGUAAGGUAACGGCUUACCAAGGCAACGAUGCGUAGCCGACCUGAGAGGGUGAUCGGCCACACUGGAACUGAGACACGGUCCAGACUCCUACGGGAGGCAGCAGUAGGGAAUCUUCCGCAAAGGGCGAAAGCCUGACGGAGCAACGCCGCGUGAGUGAUGAAGGUCUUCGGAUCGUAAAACUCUGUUAUUAGGGAAGAACAAAUGUGUAAGUAACUAUGCACGUCUUGACGGUACCUAAUCAGAAAGCUACGGCUAACUACGUG